This 253-nucleotide ribosomal RNA is filed under the name uncultured bacterium. RNAcentral describes it as "partial 16S ribosomal RNA". It matches the Rfam family "Bacterial small subunit ribosomal RNA", at positions 524 to 776 of the family's 1533-position model. The record is from RNAcentral.
GACAGAGGGUGCAAACGUUGUUCGGAAUUACUGGGCGUAAAGCGCGUGUAGGCGGCAGGGCAAGUCGGAUGUGAAAACCCACGGCUCAACCGUGGAAGUGCACCCGAUACUGCUCCGCUAGAGUCUCGGAGAGGAAGGUGGAAUGCUUGGUGUAGAGGUGAAAUUCGUAGAUAUCAAGCAGAACACCGGUGGCGAAGGCGGCCUUCUGGACGAUGACUGACGCUGAGACGCGAAAGCGUGGGGAGCAAACAGG